UCUCUCUCUAAAAUCUGACGAUGAAAACCUUAGAAAAAAUCACCUAAUACAUGCUUCUAAAAUCUAUUUAUAGCUCCUAAUACCAAUGUUUUAAAAACCGGUAUAUACCGGCCGGUAAUACCGGUUACCGGAUGUUCAAGCGGUACGAAACUGGCCAGUAAUUUAUUGAAACGGCAUCCAAUUUAAACCGCCGGUAAGUUGCGAAAUACCGGUAUGAACCGGUGUACCGUACCGGCCCAAUUCGAUCAAAAUUCAGUCGAUAGUUCAACCCUUCAUCUUCUUCAACUCUGCACUUAGUCCUUUCCCUCAUUUGAACUGAUUAUGGAAGAUAACCAAACUGAGCCACAUGUUCAAUCAAGUUAUAGAUCAAAAUCAGAUAAAGCUUGGGACUUUGUAACUUGUCAAAAAGAUGAGAAAGAUAAGACGGUAUAUAUAUGUGAUUUUUGUCAAAAAAAUGGUGCGUGGUGGCGGUAUAACGAGAAUGAAGCGACACCUUGCGGGCAUUAAAGGUGAUAUAGAACCUUGUAAAAAGGUAACGGCGGAUGUUCGUUUUACUAUGCAAGGACAUCUUAAAGAAACUGAAGUUAAAGCAAAAGGUAAAUCUACUAACAUUGGAUCUAGUGUGGACGUCUUAGAUGACGAAGACGUUGAGGAAAUAAGUGACCAAGCACAAAAGGGAAAAAAGAGAGUAAAAUCAGAUGUGCAUCCUUUCUUUACAAAAACUACAAGCGAUCCUUCUCAACCUACUAUUAGAAAAGCUAUGCAAAGCAAAGAAAAGGUACAUGAGGUUAACUUGGCUAUUGCUAUGUGGUUCUAUGACGCAUGUAUACCUAUAAAUGCUUGUAAUUCUCCUUAUUUUCAACUAGCGGUAGAUAAAAUAGCAUCUAUAGGAUAUGGUUACAAAGCACCUAACUAUCAUGCUUUAAGGGUCAAUCUGUUGAAAGAUGCAAAAACAUCAGUUGGGCUAAUAAUAGAUUCAUAUAGAAGUGACUGGGUUGAAAGUGGUUGCACAAUUAUGAGUGAUGGGUGGCGGGAUAUUAGGCAUCGACAUUUGAUUAAUUUCUUAGUUUAUUGUGAGAAACGAAUUUCAUUUCUUAAAUCUGUAGACGCAUCUGAUAUUGAGAGCAAUACUGUGAAUUUGUGUAAUUUGUUUGCUGAAGUUACGGAAAUGGUUGGGGUUAAGAAUGUAGUUCAGAUAGUUACUGACAAUGCUGCUAAUUACAAGGCAGCUGGUAAAAUGUUAUGUGCAAAAUAUCCUUCAGUUACUUGGACACCUUGUGCAGCUCACUGUCUUAAUCUUUGGUUAAAGGAUGUUUCAGAGUUGGAGAAUGUUUCAAAGUUGGUUAAACUUGCAUCUAGGAUUACUGUUUUUAUUUAUAAUCAUAAGAUGCCGUUGAAUUGGUUAAGAAAAAGAGAGGGUUGGACAGAAAUCAUUCGUUCAGGUCCUACCCGGUUUGGUACGACCUUCAUUGCAUUAAAAAGUUUGGUAGAUCAUAAAAAUGACUUGCAAGCUCUUGUCAUAUCUAAUGAAUUUAAAAAGAUGUCAAAACUGGGGAAUGCAACUGAAUGUAAAGAAGUUGUGAUGAAUGAAACCUUUUGGAGCAAUUGUUUGAUUACUGUGACAGUAAUGGCUCCUUUGUUGAGGGUUUUGCGUUUGUGUGAUAUGGAUGAAAAACCUUCUUUGCCAUAUGUUUUUUAGGGGAUGAAUCAGGCAGAUAAGGGAUUUAAGGCAAUAUUUAAGGGAAAGGAAGAUUUGUAUAAGCCAUAUACAGAUAUAAUCGAUGCUCGAUGGAAAAAGAUGUUAUGUUCUAGUAUUCAUUGUGCGGCAUAUUGGUUAAAUCCAGCUUAUCAGUGUGACAAAGAAAAUCUUUAUAAAGGUAAAGAAGUUUUCAAGGGUGUUCUCGAAAUGGUUGAGAAGAAUUUUUCAGUUGAUGAGGUUAUAGAUAUUACGUCUUUAGGCAAGUUUCGUGAUGGCGAAGAAUGUUUUGGUAGGAGUAGUGCUGUUGCUUCUCGUAAAGCAAUUCAACCCGCCGAAUGGUGGAGAUUAUUUGGUGGAGAAUAUCCGUUAAUGCAAAACUUUGCCGUUCGAAUAUUAAGUCAAACCGCAUCUUCCUCCGGUUGUGAACGUAAUUGGAGUGUCUUUGAAAGGAUUCACACAAAAAAAAAAGAAAUCGGUUGGAACAUGAAAGACUAAAUGAUCUUGUGUUUGUUCAUUACAACUUGCGUUUACAAAAUAGACUCAAAUAUGCUAAAAGAUCCUAUGACCCAAUUGAUUGUAAAAGUAUUAGUCAUGCGGAAAUUUGGGUGGUCGAAGAAGAGCCGGCAGGAGAACUUCAUAACGAUGAUAUAGAUAACAUGUUUGGUGAGGAAGAUCAUGACCCGGUUUCUCAAACACAAUGUUACUUAUUAUAUAUGUCACUUAUCUUACGUAAGUUUAAUAUAUUAUGAUUAUUUGCAACUAAAACUUCUUAUUUAAUAAUGUAGAAACGAAAAUAGUUAUGCUCUAGUUGAUGAGGAUGGUGACGAUAGUGAAUUUCAUCUUUUAAGCGACCGGGAACUUGAUGCAUUCAACACUCCAAUGGCUUAAACUUUGUUGGAAAACUGAAUACUUUUGAAUCAUCUUUUUUGUUAUGGAUUAACUUUUGGAUUGUUUUUAAUUUGUUAUAAUG
Molecule: RNA transcript, 2669 nt
Organism: Helianthus annuus (common sunflower)
Lineage: Eukaryota; Viridiplantae; Streptophyta; Magnoliopsida; Asterales; Asteraceae
Exons: 5
Source: RefSeq, a predicted model, not a curated record